Ribosomal RNA from Lottia gigantea (owl limpet), 160 nucleotides. It matches the Rfam family "Eukaryotic large subunit ribosomal RNA", at positions 2825 to 2984 of the family's 3401-position model. NCBI's taxonomy places the organism in Eukaryota, Metazoa, Mollusca, Gastropoda, Lottiidae. The record is from Rfam.
GAUAACUGGCUUGUGGCAGCCAAGCGUUCUUAGCGACGUUGCUUUUUGAUCCUUCGAUGUUGGCUCUUUCUAUCAUUGCGAAGCAGAAUUCGCCAAGCGUAGGAUUGUUCACCCACCAACAGGGAGCGUGAGUUGGAUUUAGUCCGUCGUGAGACAGGAU